Molecule: non-coding RNA, 3579 nt
Organism: Oryctolagus cuniculus (rabbit)
Lineage: Eukaryota; Metazoa; Chordata; Mammalia; Lagomorpha; Leporidae
Source: RefSeq, a predicted model, not a curated record
CUGGAUAUGUGGAUAAUACUAUAUAAGAACUUCAUUUAAUGUGGCAAAUACAUUUUGAAGUAAGCACUUGAACACAGUGAAUACAGUAAUUGGGAAUAAUGGAAUAUAAAGAGAAAACACCAUUGAAAUAAAUUACUACCUUCAAAAGGAAGGAUGGACACAGAUUUGCUAACUCGUUCAUCAUUUUUUGAUACUCUGGACUGUAGUUGUAUGUCAGUGUGACUUUUUUCAGUGAAAAAUCCUGGUGAUCUUGCCAAAUUUGUUAUUAGAUAUAAUUUUGAAUUAUACAACUCUUCAUUAUAGAAACCUUAUGUUCCAUGCAGUACUCUUUUUUCAUAUGACAUUGUUUUAUAACUAAGUAUAUAACAGAGCUCUUUCAAAAUAAAGGCAUUAAAAUAUAAUCAAGUAAGGAACAGUAUCUCUAACACUCCAGGCCUUCACUGGCAUGAACUUUACCAAGUUUGACAUACCUCCUCACACUUAAGUCUUCUGUGUUGUAGAGGAGCCUCUCCCUCAAUUGAGGGAUAGUAUAUUCCAGAGUAGAAGGAGUUGGUUGUGUAAGUAUGUGAGAGAGAUGAAAAUAGAGAAUGGAUGUCACUUCAUCUGAUAUAAGAGUUGGAAUAAAGUACAACCGUGUUGUGAAAGUAUGUUUCCAUAUGCCAUAGACACUUCUCAGAUGAAGUUCCAUAUUUAUUUAUGGGACAGCUUGUAAAGUGAUUUCCUGGAUAUUAUCACAUUUGGCCAUUUAAGGAAUCUAUGAAGCUGGCAAUAUAUAGAAAAUAGAGGGAUUACAACUGUUAGGUAGCAAACAAAAUGACAAGGCUGUUGCCAUUUUCAUUCCCAUAGCUAUCACCACACAAUAGAGCUGCAGGGCAGAUUAAUUAUGCUGUGUGGUUACUAACGGGGAGUUUAAUCAUAAAAACAUUCUUAUUCACAUUUAGUGUUUUGCAGUAAGUGCCCAUGUAGGGAAGAUUCCCCUUGAUAUUGUAAUUAAUAUUAGGUAUAAAGCAGGAAAACUUAUCUUUAGGAGUGCCAAAGUACAUGUGUAGAAACACACAAAACUUGACUACUCAAAAAUACCCAUGCACACUACCCAGAAGACGAGAUGUGUUUGUGUAUUCCUGUGGCAACUUCCCUUCUGUUUACCCCAUGUAAGACAGCUCUUUUCUAGAGAGCAGGUACUUGUACGCUUCAGCUACAUUGUACAGUGCUUCCAAGUGUGGUCAAGUGAGAUUUGAGCAAGGCUUCUUUUGAGUUGUGUUUUGCCAAUUUUGAUUCUCUAUUACUUCCAAAGCUGAGUUGCCAAUCCCUCAAGUAACACCAGUGUAGAAUUAUUAUAAAUGAUUCCAAUAUCUAUCCUGAAAGAAACAUGUUCUUACAAUCAGGAGAAAUGUGUAGUUUCUUCCCAUUGGUGUGAAACCAUUUCUCUACUUUUACAUUCUAAUAUUGAGAUCCCAAAGGGAAGCUCUUUGUGCUAUAAUUUUUUCUGUGCUUUGGGAUGGACAUAUCUAUUAUUUAAUUUGAAGAACAAAACAUUUGGAUGUGGUGAUCAUUGCUGGAUAUCCCAAUAAUCUAUGUGUAGCAAUUGUUAAUGCAUGUACACUUGUGUUACAUGUGAUUGAAAAGAAAUAUAUUUCACUAUGUACAACAGUGCUGAGGAUUUUCUUUGUACACCAUGGCUUCAGCAGAGCAAUUUAUAUAUUUCAAUGGAUUCUUUGUCAGAUCAACACAGCAAGGAAGUAUAAAUAAUGACUCAGAAAAAUGUUUGAGCAUUACAGUUGAACUUUAGAAUACCACUGUAUGUGGAGGGUGGGACUUAUGUCCCAAGAUGGUGACCCACCAUGGGAACUUCCACCCUCAUAGUAAGAUGGGCAACAGACUCUGCCCCAAGGUGGUGGCCCCCAUGACCAACCACAUGCUACAUGCCUGAUUAAUAGAGCAAUGUAUAUUAAAUCAUAUUUUAUUAUGUUAGCUUGUUACUUUCACCUCUGAGCUGGAUUUUAUUAUGUUAGUUUGUUAUUUUCACCUCUGAAUGAGAUUUUACAAUGUUAUUUCCUUAUUUUUACCUCUGAGUGUGAUUUUAUACAUUAAGCUCUAUAAUAGGUAUAGUAGCUCUGAGAUGUCAGAUUACCUGUUAAGGUAGAUGAUCAGAUAUAUAACUGGGCCAAAGCUUAGCCCUAUUUACCUCCUGUCUCCCCAGGUUAUAAGGUGAUUUUAAAAGAUUUAUUUAUUUAUUUGACAGGUAGAGUUACAGACAGUGAGAGAGAGAGACAGACAGAAUGGUCUUCCAUCUGAUGGUUCACCUUCCAAAUGGCCACAACAGCUGGAGCUACGCUGAUCCAAAGCCAGCAGUCAGGUGCCUCCUCCUGGUCUCCCAUGUGGUGCAAGGGCCCAAGCACCUGGGCCACCCUCAAUUGCUUUUUCUGGGCCACAGCAGAGAGCUGGACUGGAAGAGGAGCAACCAGGACUAGAACCCGGUGUCCAUAUGGGAUGCUGGCUCUGCAGGCAGAGGAUUAGCCUAGUGCACCACAGCGCUGGCCCCACAAGGUGAUUUAGCUAUGGAUAGUUCUACAUCUGCUCCUUUGGAGACUCCAUGACAGAUCCACACUUAAUAAUUGGGAGGCCCUUCGACUAGAUGGGAUUAAGAAAUUAUAGCUAAUGCAAUGUAUCCAUGUAAAAUGCUAAGAAUAAUUAAGCCCAUGAAGACCUGUGUCUGUUUUUAUUUUCUCAGGUCCUACAGAGACUGUAAAGCUGUAUAGCUCUGCAUACAUUCCUACAGACUUACUUCUAAGGAUCCCAAGAAGGAAAUUACAAGUCUGAAGUCAACAGCAAACCCAGGAAGGAAAGGACAGCAUUUACCAAGAGCAAAUCCAAGGACUAGAAGCAGAAUUUGCCCAUCACAACUAUGUGACUAGACUGAGGAGAUACAAGAUAGCAGAGAAUCUGGAUCUCACCAAAAGACAGGUGAAAGUGUGGUUCCAGAACAGGUGGAUGAAGAGGAAGAGGGUAAAAUUGGGCCAGCUGGGCACUGCUGCCUGAGAAAAGGAACUGGUGAACGUGAAGAAAGGAACCCUGCUCCCUUCAGAGCUGUCAGGGAUUGGUGCGGCCACGCUCCAGCAAACAGGGGACUCUCUGGACAAUGAAGACAGCCACAACAGCUACCACAGCUCUGAGCAUGCACACUUAUGAUCCACACAGACAGGACCAGAUCCAUCCUCAGGAAAGAAGCACCGUGAUGGCAAGCCUUACCCAACAGAGUUUACACAGAGAGAUGGCCAUGGCCAUGAUUUUUAAUAUUAUCAAAUUCAGGCAUCAUGGGUCUGUUUUGCAUGAUUUAUAGAGGAAGGAAGUGCCACUUAUCAAAGAUGUUUCCAUGAUGAAAAUCAGAAGAAAUGGUGUCAGACAAGGAGCAAAGACAAAUGGGCUCCCCAAGGGGAUAGACAAAACAAUUCUGAAUGUCUUCAAAUUAAAUUCAGUAAAAACACAUUAUUUUUUAAUAUGUGAUGUAUUCUUGCAGAACAACCAUCUUUGUAUUUUGUGAAAAAUGUUUAAUAAAUGAUCCUUUAUAAAUAAUUUUGG